GGUGACGGGUGUUCGAGGGGGUCUGCGGCGCGUCUGCGCGGUUCGCCGAAGGCGGGUUCGGGCGGCAGUUGUCGUUAGUAUGGGUAUGCACUCGGCGUUGCCUCUGUCGGUCGAAUACGCUUCUUAAAGGGACAAGCGGCGCUCAGCCGCACGAGAUUGAGCAAUAACAGGUCUGUGAUGCCCUUAGAUGUCCGGGGCCGCACGCGCGCUACACUGAAGGAAUCAGCGUGUGUUCUCUCCCGGUCCGGAAGGACUGGGUAACCCGUUGAACCUCCUUCGUGAUAGGGAUCGGAGCUUGAAAUUAUCCUCCGUGAACGAGGAAUUCCCAGUAAGCGCGAGUCAUAGCUCGCGUUGAUUACGUCCCUGCCCUUUGUACACACCGCCCGUCGCUACUACCGAUUGAAUGAUUUAGUGAGGUCUUCGGACUGGCAGUCUCUGCGGCUCUCGGGUCGCGGUGGCCCGCCGGGAAGAUGACCGAACUUGACCAUUUAGAGGAAGUAAAAGUCGUAACAAGGUUUUCGUAGGUGAACCUGCGGAAGGAUCAUUA
RNAcentral lists this non-coding RNA (547 nucleotides) under Strigamia maritima. RNAcentral's name for it is "Eukaryotic small subunit ribosomal RNA". It matches the Rfam family "Eukaryotic small subunit ribosomal RNA", at positions 1361 to 1831 of the family's 1831-position model. The record is from Rfam by way of RNAcentral. Lineage: Eukaryota; Metazoa; Arthropoda; Chilopoda; Geophilomorpha; Linotaeniidae.